GAAAUGCGAUAAGUAGUGUGAAUUGCAGAAUUCAGUGAAUCAUCGAAUCUUUGAACGCACAUUGCGCCCCUUGGUAUUCCAUGGGGCAUGCCUGUUCGAGCGUCAUUUGUACCUUCAAGCUUUGCUUGGUGUUGGGUGUUUGUCUCGCCUCUGCGUGUAGACUCGCCUCAAAACAAUUGGCAGCCGGCGUAUUGAUUUCGGAGCGCAGUACAUCUCGCGCUUUACACUCAUAACGACGACGUCCAAAAGUACAUUUUUACACUCUUGACCUCGGAUCAGGUAGGGAUACCCGCUGAACUUAAGC
RNAcentral lists this unclassified non-coding RNA (304 nucleotides) under plant metagenome. RNAcentral describes it as "partial contains 5.8S ribosomal RNA, internal transcribed spacer 2, and large subunit ribosomal RNA". The stretch from base 1 to 105 matches the Rfam family "5.8S ribosomal RNA", at positions 50 to 154 of the family's 154-position model. The record is from RNAcentral.